AACGAACGCUGGCGGCAGGCUUAACACAUGCAAGUCGAACGCCCCGCUAGGGUAUUGGCAGCCGGGUGUGUAUCGCGUGGGAACAUACCCUUUCCUGCUUAAUAGCUCCGGGAAACUGGAAUUAAUACCGCAUACGCCCUCCGGGGGAAAGAUUUAUCGGGGAAGGAUUGGCCCGCGUUGGAUUAGCUAGUUGGUGGUGUAAAGUCCUACCAAGGCGACGCUCCAUAGCUGGUCUGAGAGGAUGAUCAGCCACAUUGGGACUGAGACACGGCCCAAACUCCUACGGGAGGCAGCAGUGGGGAAUAUUGGAAAAUGGGCGCAAGCCUGAUCCAGCCAUGACGCGUGAGUGAUGAAGGCAUUAGGGUUGUAAAGCUCUUUCAACGAUGAAGAUAAUGACGGUAGUCGGAGAAGAAGCCCCGGCUAACUUCGUG
This 431-nucleotide ribosomal RNA is filed under the name uncultured bacterium. RNAcentral's name for it is "partial 16S ribosomal RNA". It matches the Rfam family "Bacterial small subunit ribosomal RNA", at positions 29 to 507 of the family's 1533-position model. The record is from RNAcentral.